AAUCUUGUGCAAUGGAGGGAACUCUGACGCAGCGACGCCGCGUGAACGAUGAAGGUCUUCGGAUCGUAAAGUUCUGUCCUCAGGGAAGAAGGACACUUAACGUGACUUGACGGUACCUGUGGAGGAAGCCCCGGCUAACUACGUGCCAGAAGCCGUGGUAAUACGUAGGGGGCAAGCGUUGUCCGGAAUUAUUGGGCGUAAAGGGUGCGUAGGCGGCCUUUUAAGUCAGAUGUGAAAGACCACGGCUUAACCGUGGGGUUGCAUUUGAAACUGGAGGGCUUGAGUAUCGGAGAGGGUAGUGGAAUUCCCAGUGUAGCGGUGGAAUGCGUAGAUAUUGGGAGGAACACCAGUGGCGAAGGCGACUACCUGGACGAAAACUGACGCUGAGGCACGAAAGCUAGGGGAGCAAACA
RNAcentral lists this ribosomal RNA (412 nucleotides) under uncultured bacterium. RNAcentral describes it as "partial 16S ribosomal RNA". It matches the Rfam family "Bacterial small subunit ribosomal RNA", at positions 360 to 774 of the family's 1533-position model. The record is from RNAcentral.